This 71-nucleotide transfer RNA is filed under the name bacterium. RNAcentral describes it as "tRNA-Cys". It matches the Rfam family "tRNA". From Rfam's summary of the family: Transfer RNA (tRNA) molecules are approximately 80 nucleotides in length. Their secondary structure includes four short double-helical elements and three loops (D, anti-codon, and T loops). Further hydrogen bonds mediate the characteristic L-shaped molecular structure. tRNAs have two regions of fundamental functional importance: the anti-codon, which is responsible for specific mRNA codon recognition, and the 3' end, to which the tRNAs corresponding amino acid is attached (by aminoacyl-tRNA synthetases). tRNAs cope with the degeneracy of the genetic code in two manners: having more than one tRNA (with a specific anti-codon) for a particular amino acid; and 'wobble' base-pairing, i.e. permitting non-standard base-pairing at the 3rd anti-codon position. The record is from RNAcentral.
GGCCUGAUUGCCAAGUGGUAAGGCAAGAGUCUGCAAAACUCUCACCGAGGGUUCGAUUCCCUCUCAGGCCU